UGUUGAAACACUAGUUCCCAUACGAUCACUGAAGUUAAACAACAUUGUAUCUGGUCAGUACCUAGAUGGGUGACUGCUACAGAAUACCAAGUGCUGUAA
Molecule: non-coding RNA, 99 nt
Organism: Acanthosepion pharaonis
Lineage: Eukaryota; Metazoa; Mollusca; Cephalopoda; Sepiida; Sepiidae
Source: the annotation of a GenBank genome assembly